GACGAACGCUGGCGGCGUGCUUAACACAUGCAAGUCGAACGGAAAGGCCCUGCUUGCCGGGUACUCGAGUGGCGAACGGGUGAGUAACACGUGGGUGAUCUGCCCUGCACUUCGGGAUAAGCCUGGGAAACUGGGUCUAAUACCGGAUAGGAGCCAUUUUUAGUGUGAUGGUUGGAAAGUUUUUUCGGUGUAGGAUGAGCUCGCGGCCUAUCAGCUUGUUGGUGGGGUAAUGGCCUACCAAGGCGGCGACGGGUAGCCGGCCUGAGAGGGUGGACGGCCACAUUGGGACUGAGAUACGGCCCAGACUCCUACGGGAGGCAGCAGGGGGGAAGAUUGCACAAUGGGCGCAAGCCUGAUGCAGCGACGCCGCGUGGGGGAUGACGGCCUUCGGGUUGUAAACUCCUUUCGCUAGGGACGAAGCUUUUUGUGACGGUACCUAGAUAAGAAGCACCGGCUAACUACGUG
RNAcentral lists this ribosomal RNA (465 nucleotides) under uncultured bacterium. Its description in RNAcentral is "partial 16S ribosomal RNA". It matches the Rfam family "Bacterial small subunit ribosomal RNA", at positions 28 to 507 of the family's 1533-position model. The record is from RNAcentral.